GUUAGCCUCAAAAACUUUAUAGGGCCUUUAGCUAGUCUUCUUAAUAAUUAUUACCGUAAGGGGCGUUACAGCUUUCAUCUUCAAUCACUGCCACACAUUGGAUUAGCUUGCUGUGUUUACUGCAGACGAAACAAGGAGCACGGGCUAAGUGCAUUCUUUCCGCUGGGAGUGAUCGUCGCGCCAUAUUUACUACAGCCAGGACUUCCUUCCCUCAGCGGUAGGAUUGAGAAACUCCCCGAGCCAACUAUUAGAACAUCAGAUCGUUCUACUCAUUCAACCAAUGCGCAUAGCGCCUUAAGUAAGGUGUCGUGUCGCUACGGAUCACUGUCCCACCUCAGUGUAGCUAAGGAUAUAUGACUAAUCCAUUUCACACACGUCGCGAGGAAACCUUGUAAGAGGGAAAUCGUUGUAUACGUAAGACAGCGACAAAAAACAGCAUCCUCUAAGGGAACAAAACAACCGUUGUCGACGGGCAGGAAAAAAAAUGA
This is a long non-coding RNA of Varroa destructor (honeybee mite), 488 nucleotides long. Lineage: Eukaryota; Metazoa; Arthropoda; Arachnida; Mesostigmata; Varroidae. The record is from RefSeq and is a predicted model, not a curated record.